RNAcentral lists this unclassified non-coding RNA (443 nucleotides) under uncultured fungus. RNAcentral describes it as "partial contains 5.8S ribosomal RNA, internal transcribed spacer 2, and large subunit ribosomal RNA". Lineage: Eukaryota; Fungi. The record is from RNAcentral.
AACGCACAUUGCGCCUUCUGGCAUUCCGGAAGGCAUGCUUGUUUGAGUAUCAGUAACAGCCUCAGCUCCUCUCUCUCUCUCUCUCUCUCUCUUCCUUUGGGAAAAGGGGCGGGGGGGAGAGAAGGCUGGAUUUGAGCAUUUUCCUUCCCUCUAAUCAAAAUUUGAUUUGGGGGGGAAGGAUGCUUGAAAUACAGGUUCGACCAUGACGGCAAGGGGGGUUUUUUUUUCCCCUCUCAUCCCUGGGCUACAAGCAUUUCAUACUUAAUCCCGUCAAACGGACUAUAUCUUUUUGCUGCAGCCAACACACACAAAAGGGGAUGAUCGUCAAGUUGGCUCGACUGAUGCAGGAAAAGUUGGACCCAGAUCUUGAUCAAUUUUUUGAUUUGCGAUCUGCGCUCUGCUAACUCGAUCUCAAAUCAAGUAAGACUACCCGCUGAACUUAA